GAAUCAACGCUGGCGGCGUGCCUAACACAUGCAAGUCGAACGCGAAAGCCCCGCAAGGGGUUAGUAGAGUGGCAAACGGGUGAGUAACACGUGGGUGACCUGCCUCAGAGUGGGGGAUAACGACCCGAAAGGGUCGCUAAUACCGCAUAACAUCCUGCCUUUGGAUAGGCGGAGAUCAAAGCCGGGGAUCGCAAGACCUGGCGCUUAGAGAGGGGCCCCNCGGCCGAUUAGCUAGUUGGGAGGUAACGGCUCACCAAGGCGACGAUCGGUAUCCGGCCUGAGAGGGCGGACGGACACACUGGGACUGAGACACGGCCCAGACUCCUACGGGAGGCAGCAGUGGGGAAUUGUUCGCAAUGGGCGAAAGCCUGACGACGCAACGCCGCGUGGAGGACGAAGACC
RNAcentral lists this ribosomal RNA (402 nucleotides) under uncultured bacterium. RNAcentral's name for it is "bacterial SSU rRNA". It matches the Rfam family "Bacterial small subunit ribosomal RNA", at positions 27 to 416 of the family's 1533-position model. The record is from RNAcentral.